GUGAGAGGAUAUAAGACUUGAUUUUAUAUGUGUACUAGAAUUUUGAGAUCAAUCGAACGGUGUAAAGGAGAGAUAUUGGCUCUGGAAGAUUGGCAUCAAGAUUGGAGAAGGAGGCAAGCCAAUACCCGAGCACAUUUUUGAGGUUAUCGUCAAUUUGGUAACUUAAAUCCUUUUCAAUUUUUUUGUGCUUAUUUUGAACUUAGUUUUUAAGAAGUGUACAAAAUUUGAGUUAAGAUCAACGGUUUAUUCAUUAGUUAUUGAGGUUUAAAUCUGUUAUAGGAAUUACUAGGGUUUGGUUUAGGGUUUGGUUAGGAUUUGGUUUAGGAUUUGGUUUAAGAUUCGAUUAGGGUUUGGAUUAGGGUUUGAUUUAAGGCUUAGGAUUUAGAAUUUGGAUUAGGAUUUGUUUUAGGAUUACGAUUUGGUUAGGGUUUGGUUUAGGAUUUAGUUAGGGUUUUAUUUAGGAUUUAGAAUUUUAUUAAGAUUUAAGAUUUAAUUAGUUUUGGCCUAAAGUUUUAAUGAAGUUCAAUAGGAUUUUAAUUAGAAUUAAAUUAAGAUUGAAUUGAGAUAUAUUUGAGUGAUAUUUGUGAUCCUUUUAAUAUUUCUUUAAGAAUUCUUAUUGUUUGUUUGAAAUUUCUUUGAGAUUUUUUUGAAUUUGAUUAUACUUGCUUAGCAUUAUUAUCGUCUAAUUAGAGCAUUGUUAGUAUUCUAAUAGAAUUAGGAUUUUGUUAUUGCAAUUU
RNAcentral lists this long non-coding RNA (737 nucleotides) under Physcomitrium patens. Its description in RNAcentral is "long non-coding RNA (PPAT_LNC009074)". Lineage: Eukaryota; Viridiplantae; Streptophyta; Bryopsida; Funariales; Funariaceae. The record is from RNAcentral.